This 539-nucleotide ribosomal RNA is filed under the name uncultured bacterium. RNAcentral's name for it is "bacterial SSU rRNA". It matches the Rfam family "Bacterial small subunit ribosomal RNA", at positions 8 to 526 of the family's 1533-position model. The record is from RNAcentral.
AGAGUUUGAUCCUGGCUCAGAACGAACGCUGGCGGCGUGCCUCAGACAUGCAAGUCGAACGCGAAAGUUCCCUUCGGGGGGCGAGUAGAGUGGCGCACGGGUGAGUAACACGUAGGUAAUCUACCUUCGGAUGGGGAAUAACAACCGGAAACGGUUGCUAAUACCGCAUAAUGCAGCGGCACCUAAUGGUGACAGUUGUUAAAGCGGGGGAUCGUAAGACCUCGCGUCUGGAGAGGAGCCUGCGGCGGAUUAGCUAGUUGGUAAGGUAACGGCUUACCAAGGCUAUGAUCCGUAGCCGGCCUGAGAGGGCGGUCGGCCACACUGACACUGACAUACGGGUCAGACUCCUACGGGAGGCAGCAGUCGGGAAUUUUGGGCAAUGGGCGAAAGCCUGACCCAGCAACGCCGCGUGAAGGAUGAAAUCCUUCGGGAUGUAAACUUCGCAAGAACGGGAAGAAUAAGCCGGUAUUAACACCACCGGUGAUGACGGUACUGUUUGUAAGCUCCGGCUAACUCCGUGCCAGCAGCCGCGGUAAUAC